Molecule: ribosomal RNA, 550 nt
Filed under: Trichoderma aureoviride
Lineage: Eukaryota; Fungi; Ascomycota; Sordariomycetes; Hypocreales; Hypocreaceae
Description: eukaryotic LSU rRNA
Rfam family: 5.8S ribosomal RNA (bases 173-326)
Source: RNAcentral
GAACGUUACCAAACUGUUGCCUCGGCGGGAUCUCUGCCCCGGGUGCGUCGCAGCCCCGGACCAAGGCGCCCGCCGGAGGACCAACCAAAACUCUUUUUGUAUACCCCCUCGCGGGUUUUUUAUAAUCUGAGCCUUCUCGGCGCCUCUCGUAGGCGUUUCGAAAAUGAAUCAAAACUUUCAACAACGGAUCUCUUGGUUCUGGCAUCGAUGAAGAACGCAGCGAAAUGCGAUAAGUAAUGUGAAUUGCAGAAUUCAGUGAAUCAUCGAAUCUUUGAACGCACAUUGCGCCCGCCAGUAUUCUGGCGGGCAUGCCUGUCCGAGCGUCAUUUCAACCCUCGAACCCCUCCGGGGGGUCGGCGUUGGGGAUCGGCCCUGCCUCUUGGCGGUGGCCGUCUCCGAAAUACAGUGGCGGUCUCGCCGCAGCCUCUCCUGCGCAGUAGUUUGCACACUCGCAUCGGGAGCGCGGCGCGUCCACAGCCGUUAAACACCCAACUUCUGAAAUGUUGACCUCGGAUCAGGUAGGAAUACCCGCUGAACUUAAGCAUAUCAA